GACGAACGCUGGCGGCGUGCUUAACACAUGCAAGUCGAACGGAAAGGCCCUGCUUUUGUGGGGUGCUCGAGUGGCGAACGGGUGAGUAACACGUGAGUAACCUGCCCUUGACUUUGGGAUAACUUCAGGAAACUGGGGCUAAUACCGGAUAGGAGCUCCUGCUGCAUGGUGGGGGUUGGAAAGUUUCGGCGGUUGGGGAUGGACUCGCGGCUUAUCAGCUUGUUGGUGGGGUAGUGGCUUACCAAGGCUUUGACGGGUAGCCGGCCUGAGAGGGUGACCGGCCACAUUGGGACUGAGAUGCGGCCCAGACUCCUACGGGAGGCAGCAGUGGGGAAUAUUACACAAUGGGCGGAAGCCUGAUGCAGCAACGCCGCGUGCGGGAUGACGGCCUUCGGGUUGUAAACCGCUUUCGCCUGUGACGAAGCGUGAGUGACGGUAAUGGGUAAAGAAGCACCGGCUAACUACGUG
RNAcentral lists this ribosomal RNA (468 nucleotides) under uncultured bacterium. RNAcentral's name for it is "partial 16S ribosomal RNA". It matches the Rfam family "Bacterial small subunit ribosomal RNA", at positions 28 to 507 of the family's 1533-position model. The record is from RNAcentral.